Molecule: ribosomal RNA, 605 nt
Filed under: Nocardioidaceae bacterium
Lineage: Bacteria; Bacillati; Actinomycetota; Actinomycetes; Propionibacteriales; Nocardioidaceae
Description: bacterial SSU rRNA
Rfam family: Bacterial small subunit ribosomal RNA
Source: RNAcentral
GUGCUCGCGGCCUAUCAGCUUGAUGGUGAGGUAAUGGCUCACCAUGGCUUCGACGGGUAGCCGGCCUGAGAGGGUGACCGGUCACACUGGGACUGAGACACGGCCCAGACUCCUACGGGAGGCAGCAGUGGGGAAUAUUGGACAAUGGGCGGAAGCCUGAUCCAGCAACGCCGCGUGAGGGAUGACGGCCUUCGGGUUGUAAACCUCUUUCAGUACCGACGAAGCGAUCCUUUUGGGGAGUGACGGUAGGUACAGAAGAAGCACCGGCCAACUACGUGCCAGCAGCCGCGGUAAUACGUAGGGUGCGAGCGUUGUCCGGAAUUAUUGGGCGUAAAGGGCUCGUAGGCGGUUUGUCGCGUCGGGAGUGAAAACCAGGUGCUUAACACCUGGCUUGCUUUCGAUACGGGCAGACUAGAGGUAUUCAGGGGAGAACGGAAUUCCUGGUGUAGCGGUGAAAUGCGCAGAUAUCAGGAGGAACACCGGUGGCGAAGGCGGUUCUCUGGGAAUAUCCUGACGCUGAGGAGCGAAAGUGUGGGGAGCGAACAGGAUUAGAUACCCUGGUAGUCCACACCGUAAACGUUGGGCGCUAGGUGUGGGGUCCAUUC